RNAcentral lists this transfer RNA (68 nucleotides) under Olidiana ritcheri. RNAcentral's name for it is "tRNA-Leu". Lineage: Eukaryota; Metazoa; Arthropoda; Insecta; Hemiptera; Cicadellidae. The record is from RNAcentral.
ACUAGGUUGACAGAGUAAUAUGUAUUAAAUUUAGAAUUUAAUUAGGUAAUGAUUGGUUACAUCUAGUA